Long non-coding RNA from Lucilia cuprina (Australian sheep blowfly), 385 nucleotides. RefSeq lists it as uncharacterized. The record is from RefSeq and is a predicted model, not a curated record. Lineage: Eukaryota; Metazoa; Arthropoda; Insecta; Diptera; Calliphoridae. The transcript is spliced from 3 exons.
AUUCUAACAGAACCAGACAGAAAAUAUACAACAAUUUUUUUUGUUAUUUUCCAAUACAAAUAUUCAUUCGUUAUAAAUUUGCUCGACUGCCAUGUUUUACAAUCGCGAUUCAGUGAAAUCAAUCGCGUACUAUUAAAGAAAACUUUUAAUUUUUUUUGUUUAAAAGCAGUGAGCUACCUUUAAGUAUGACAUCCAAGCGGUAUCCUGCUAACACGGAAUUGAUGUCGUCUCUAUGAAUGGCGUUCAAAGCUGCAGUGUACAAGGACUGAUCUAUUAAUCCGGGAAAAGUUCAAAUUUAACCAAAGAACCAAUUUCUAUUGUAUCUCUAUGGUAAACAUUAAGGUUACUUAUUAUCUUAGUUUAACUGAGUGUUAUUGGCCAAUUA